This 329-nucleotide ribosomal RNA is filed under the name uncultured eukaryote. RNAcentral's name for it is "partial 18S ribosomal RNA". It matches the Rfam family "Eukaryotic small subunit ribosomal RNA", at positions 1470 to 1796 of the family's 1831-position model. The record is from RNAcentral.
CCCUUAGAUGUUCUGGGCUGCACGCGCGCUACACUGAUGCGUUCAACGAGUUUAUGACCUUGCCCGAUAGGGUUGGGUAAUCUUUUUAAAUCGCAUCGUGAUGGGGAUAGAUUAUUGCAAUUAUUAAUCUUCAACGAGGAAUUCCUAGUAAGCGCGAGUCAUCAGCUCGUGCUGAUUACGUCCCUGCCCUUUGUACACACCGCCCGUCGCUCCUACCGAUUGAAUGGUCCGGUGAGUUGUCAGGAUGAGACGCUUUUGGCGGGCAACUGCGAGAAGCGACUCAGAAUCUCAGCAAACCUUAUCAUUUAGAGGAAGGAGAAGUCGUAACA